GGCGAUAGUAUCGAUUAUAUCAAUAUUUUUCUACAAAAUAAUCGAUAAUUUCAAUCGACGUUAUAGAAUUAAUUGAUAUAUCAAGAUGGAUUUUUAAUGACAUCAAUGUUGUUGCAUAAUAUUACACUAUAUAUAUUCUGUAUCCAACUUUUAGGGCUGUUAGAAUUCUCAUCUAAGUAUCAGUUUAUCCUUAUUGUUCACCGAUUGUUAAAUAAGGUUAGCAUAACUCCUGAGGAAUAUUCGGAUGGGAAUAUUCCUCAGGUGAACGUGCCGUAAAAGACAUACUAGUUCUUUUUGUUUUGAGUAAUGAGAUUGACACAACUCAUAGUAGAAUUGUUAUGGUUGCAUAACUGACGUUGCCAAUAAUGCCAAUCAUCAUUUUUCGGGACAAAACUGUAAUGUAAAUAACAAAUCAAAACUUUCAUUUCAUCUGUUAUAUACCGUGUUUAUGCGUUAUGCAGUGUUAGGGCCAUGACACA
Trachymyrmex septentrionalis is the source of this 479-nucleotide long non-coding RNA. RefSeq lists it as uncharacterized. The transcript has 2 exons. NCBI's taxonomy places the organism in Eukaryota, Metazoa, Arthropoda, Insecta, Hymenoptera, Formicidae. The record is from RefSeq and is a predicted model, not a curated record.